RNAcentral lists this microRNA precursor (81 nucleotides) under Erinaceus europaeus (western European hedgehog). Its description in RNAcentral is "mir-187 microRNA precursor family". It matches the Rfam family "mir-187 microRNA precursor family". The record is from Rfam by way of RNAcentral. Lineage: Eukaryota; Metazoa; Chordata; Mammalia; Eulipotyphla; Erinaceidae.
GGCGUGAGACCUCGGGCUACAACACGGGACCCGGGCGCUGCUCCGACCCCUCGUGUCUUGUGUUGCAGCCGGAGGGGCGCA